This 251-nucleotide ribosomal RNA is filed under the name Colwellia sp. BRX10-1. RNAcentral's name for it is "partial 16S ribosomal RNA". It matches the Rfam family "Bacterial small subunit ribosomal RNA", at positions 348 to 591 of the family's 1533-position model. The record is from RNAcentral. Lineage: Bacteria; Pseudomonadati; Pseudomonadota; Gammaproteobacteria; Alteromonadales; Colwelliaceae.
GCAGCAGUGGGGAAUAUUGCACAAUGGGCGAAAGCCUGAUGCAGCCAUGCCGCGUGUGUGAAGAAGGCCUUCGGGUUGUAAAGCACUUUCAGUUGUGAGGAAAGGUGGGUAGUUAAUAGCUGCUCGCUGUGACGUUAGCAACAGAAGAAGCACCGGCUAACUCCGUGCCAGCAGCCGCGGUAAUACGGAGGGUGCGAGCGUUAAUCGGAAUUACUGGGCGUAAAGCGUGCGUAGGCGGUUUGUUAAGCAAG